CACCUCAUUAAAUACUAUUAAUUUCUGUGUGGAUUAAAUGAGUUAAUCUCAUGUAAUGUGUCUCAGAACAGCACCUGGCACAUAGUAAGUGCCAAAUGUGUUAUUAAUCUAGCAUAUGUUAUGAAUAUUUUCUCCUGCCUAUUGUUUGUCUUUUGGCAUUAUUUAUGGUACUGUUUUCCAUACAGACUUUGAAAUGUUUUUAUGCAGUAAAAUAUAUCUAGUCUUCCCUAUUUAUAGCUUUUGUAUUUCAAAAUGUGUCAUUUGAAGGCUACUUAUUUUCUUUUAUGUCAUCCAUGUCACAUAUAUGUUUUCCUAAUUUAUCCUUUCUUUCAAUUCGAGAGUGGAGUUUUUGAUAACUGUUCUGCUGAAGUCAAAGUUGUCAUUCUUUAAUUUUCAAAUUAUCUGCAUUGGUUUUGCUUAGAAAAGCCUUUCCUGUCUAUUUACGGUUUAUUUAUAGAGAAUUGAUACAGUAGAGAGAUAAUUUUUCUCUAAAUUGUUUGCUAGCUAUCCCAACACCAUUUAUUUUUCUAUGCUCUAAUUAAAGAGAUCCGUUGAGGAUUGACACAUCCCACAUUGGAGUUUGAUUUGAAUGAAACCACACCCCCUUCUUUUGUUAUAGAGCCAGUAAAGAAAAAGAGGUCUAUGUGCAAGUCAACUCUUUUUUUUUUUUUUAAGAUUUCAUUUUUUCAUUUAUUCAUGAGAGACACAGAGAGGCAAAGAUAUAGUCAGAGGGAGAAGCAGGCUCCCCACAGGGAGCCUGAUGUGGGACUCAAUCCUAGGAUCCUGGGAUCAUGACCUGAGCCAAAGGCAGAUGCUCAACCACUGAGCUACCUAGGUGCCCUACAGCCAACUCUUAAUUCCCAUCAUAUAUAUAUAUGCAGUUUAAGAGAUCAAAUAAAAAAAACAGACUGAAAAAAAAACCACCCAAAAACUAUCAGCCUGGGCUCCUCACACUACUUUUCACUGAGUUCUGCUCAGAAAUAUCAGCUAACCUUAACUUUAUGUAAGUCAGCUUGGAAGAACAAUUUUUUUAAAGGUAUAAAUGUUUUACAAAGCUAACUACAAGUGACUUGAAAUUUCUACUAUCUAGUUAUCUAUGCAUUAGGGUCUUUAAUGAUUAGAAGUAAAAAAAACCUGAAGAGUAGAUUUGAAAAAAAAAUGAAAUCCACAUGUUAUUUCUCUGAAUCAGGUACUCCAAUAUGAUUUUAUAGAAUAAGAAUCAGAAGACAAAAGGAAUUAAAGGAAGUUUGGUAGAGGUGAGUUAUCUAGAGUAGACAAAGAUUUUUUGAGUCAGGAAUUUAGAAUUAGUCAAUUAACAACUCACAAAACUUUUUCUUUUCUUUUCUUUUUUUUUUUUUUUAAAAAAAACAAACAUUUUUCUUAUCCUGGAGGGCUUAAACCUGAGCAUUCUAUGAAUGAGGAGCUUAAAGAAUCUCAGAUGCCAUCAUGUUUUUUUUUUUUUAAUCCAAAAAAUCUUGUAAACAGAAUUAUGGACCUUGUACUUUAAUACCUAGUUCUUAAAAAGAUAAUUAUGGCACAGUGAUGGGCUAUGCCAAUGUGCCUCAGAUUAUCUGGUAAAGAACCUAGUUUUUUCCCAGUCUGCAUUUUUGAAAAUAUGAUAAAAAUGAAUUACUAGAAAAAUGAAAUGAAAAUGAAAACAAAUACAUAUAAAAAUAGAAGCCAAUUUUUUUAUUAUUAGGCUUAACAGCUAUAAAAUUACUAUGUCAAAUUGCCAUAAAUGUUUCUAAAGCUAACUUUAAUUUCUGUGCUUACUUCACUGCAGACUGGUAACAAAUUAGUAGAUUUGUAUGGGUCCAUGUAUCACUGUCCUAUUCCCAUUUCUGGCCCCUAAACUAAUACAUUUUUUAAAACCAAAGGUUCCUACAUCAGAGAAGGGUGAAAAGAGGAUCAAUAUACAACAUUGAACUGUUGUGUAUGAAACUGCAGCAAACGUUAGGACCUCUUCAUUUCUCUUAUCUGGUUAAAGUUCCCAAAACAUGUCCUUUGGCCUAAUAUUUAGCUUUAAACUGAUAAGUCAUAAUACAUUACAGAAUCUCUGAUUCUGUAAGUAAUGUUCAAAUACUAAAAGUGCUGGUUGUAUAGUACAUUUGCUUUCCAAAUAUAAUUUAUUCAGUGUUUAUUUUCCAUACUUAAGGAUUUUUUUUAGAUCAAUGCCUAUGAAUUAGUGCCACAUGGAAGGAUGCUCCCCAAAACACAGAGCUUCACAUUCUGGUUUUACUCCAAAUAAGGAUUCUCCAGAAUCCAUGAUCCCUACACUGGAAACUCUUGGCUUUUCUUUCAGGCACUGGCUCUGC
This 2315-nucleotide long non-coding RNA is filed under the name Canis lupus familiaris (dog). RNAcentral describes it as "lncRNA (ENSCAFG00845009089.1)". Lineage: Eukaryota; Metazoa; Chordata; Mammalia; Carnivora; Canidae. The record is from RNAcentral.